CGACGGGUGAGUAACACGUAUCCAACCUGCCGUCUACUCUUGGACAGCCUUCUGAAAGGAAGAUUAAUACAAGAUGGCAUCAUGAGUCCGCAUGUUCACAUGAUUAAAGGUAUUCCGGUAGACGAUGGGGAUGCGUUCCAUUAGAUAGUAGGCGGGGUAACGGCCCACCAAGACUACGAUGGAUAGGGGUUCUGAGAGGAAGGUCCCCCACAUUGGAACUGAGACACGGUCCAA
Molecule: ribosomal RNA, 234 nt
Filed under: uncultured bacterium
Lineage: Bacteria
Description: partial 16S ribosomal RNA
Rfam family: Bacterial small subunit ribosomal RNA
Source: RNAcentral